This 494-nucleotide ribosomal RNA is filed under the name uncultured bacterium. RNAcentral describes it as "partial 16S ribosomal RNA". It matches the Rfam family "Bacterial small subunit ribosomal RNA", at positions 28 to 507 of the family's 1533-position model. The record is from RNAcentral.
GACGAACGCUGGCGGCGUGCUUAACACAUGCAAGUCGAACGGUGAAGCGCCUUCCUUUUUGGUGGGUGUGGAUGAGUGGCGAACGGGUGAGUAACACGUGAGUAACCUGCCCCCUUCUUCGGGAUAACCGCAUGAAAGUGUGGCUAAUACGGGAUAUUCUGGGUCUGUCGCAUGAUGGGUCUGGGAAAGAUAUUGUUUCGGUGGGGGAUGGGCUCGCGGCCUAUCAGCUUGUUGGUGGGGUGAUGGCCUACCAAGGCGGUGACGGGUAGCCGGCCUGAGAGGGUUGACGGUCACACUGGGACUGAGGCACGGCCCACACUCCUACGGGAGGCAGCAGUGGGGAAUCUUGCACAAUGGGCGAUAGCCUGAUGCAGCGACGCCGCGUGAGGGAUGGACGCCUUCGGGUGGUAAACCUCUUUCGCCAGUGAAGCAGGCCUGCCUCGUUUGUGGGUGGGUUGACGGUAGCUGGAUAAGAAGCGCCGGCUAACUACGUG